CGCGGUUAUACCAAGUGAUUAAGUUAUACUUUUAGGUAAAAAGACAGUUAGGUUUACAGGUAAUUGACUUUAGUUUAUUAAACAUCUAUAAAAAAGUAAAAUUUGUAUAUAGAUAGCUGAUCUAAGAAUGACUAAAUAAUACUGAAGCUGUGAUAAUCUUGAGGGAAACUGGGAUUAGAUACCCCAUUAUUCUUGAUUGUAAAUAUAAUUAAAUUUACCAGAGUACUAUGAAUAGUUAAAAAUUUAAAACUCAAAGGGCUUGGCGGUGUUUUAGACCUAUCAGGGGAACCUGUCUCAUAAUCGACAAUCCACGCAAUAUCUAACCUUAUUUUGUAAUCAGUUUGUAUACCGUCGUCGUCAGGUAACUUUUAAAAAUAUAGAAGUUAGCAAUUAAAAUUAUUUUAAAUUAGGACGUCAGAUCAAGGUGCAGCUUAUAAUAAGGAGAGGAUGGGUUACAAUUAUAAAAGUUAUAAUUACGGAAAUUUAAAUGAAACCUAUUUUGAAGGAGGACUUGAAAGUAAACUAAAAUACAUAAAUAGUUUGAAUAAGGCUCUG
RNAcentral lists this ribosomal RNA (555 nucleotides) under Nassarius olivaceus. RNAcentral's name for it is "partial 12S ribosomal RNA". The record is from RNAcentral. Lineage: Eukaryota; Metazoa; Mollusca; Gastropoda; Neogastropoda; Nassariidae.